GCCGGGCAUGGUGGUGCGCACCUGUAGUCCCAGCUACUCGGGAGGCUGAGGUGGGAGGAUCGCUUGAGUCCAGGAGUUCUGGGCUGCAGUGCAAUAUGCCGAUUGGGUGUCCGCACUAAGUUCGGCAUCAAUAUGGUGACCUCCCAGGAGUGGGGGACCACCACGUUGCCUAAGGAGGGGUGAACCAGCCCAGGUUGGAAACAGCAGGUCAAAACUCCCGUGCUGAUCAGUAGUGGGAUCACGCCUGUGAGUAGCCACUGCACUCCAGCCUGGGCAAUAUAGUGAGACCCUGUCUCU
This 297-nucleotide signal recognition particle RNA is filed under the name Cavia aperea (Brazilian guinea pig). RNAcentral's name for it is "Metazoan signal recognition particle RNA (ENSCAPG00000001625.1)". It matches the Rfam family "Metazoan signal recognition particle RNA". Rfam says of the family: The signal recognition particle (SRP) is a universally conserved ribonucleoprotein. Lineage: Eukaryota; Metazoa; Chordata; Mammalia; Rodentia; Caviidae. The record is from RNAcentral.